This 505-nucleotide ribosomal RNA is filed under the name uncultured bacterium. RNAcentral describes it as "partial 16S ribosomal RNA". It matches the Rfam family "Bacterial small subunit ribosomal RNA", at positions 29 to 523 of the family's 1533-position model. The record is from RNAcentral.
AGUGAACGCUGGCGGUAGGCCUAACACAUGCAAGUCGAACGGCAGCACAGGAGAGCUUGCUCUCUGGGUGGCGAGCGGCGGACGGGUGAGGAAUACAUCGGAAUCUACUCUGUCGUGGGGGAUAACGUAGGGAAACUUACGCUAAUACCGCAUACGACCUACGGGUGAAAGCAGGGGACCUUCGGGCCUUGCGCGAUUGAAUGAGCCGAUGUCGGAUUAGCUAGUUGGCGGGGUAAAGGCCCACCAAGGCGACGAUCCGUAGCUGGUCUGAGAGGAUGAUCAGCCACACUGGAACUGAGACACGGUCCAGACUCCUACGGGAGGCAGCAGUGGAGAAUAUUGGACAAUGGCGCAAGCCUGAUCCAGCCAUACCGCGUGGGUGAAGAAGGCCUUCGGGUUGUAAAGCCCUUUUGUUGGGAAAGAAAUCCAGCUGGCUAAUACCCGGUUGGGAUGACGGUACCCAAAGAAUAAGCACCGGCUAACUUCGUGCCAGCCGCCGCAGUAA